Molecule: ribosomal RNA, 253 nt
Filed under: uncultured bacterium
Lineage: Bacteria
Description: partial 16S ribosomal RNA
Rfam family: Bacterial small subunit ribosomal RNA
Source: RNAcentral
UACGGGGGGUGCAAGCGUUAAUCGGAUUUACUGGGCGUAAAGAGCACGUAGGCGGUUGAUUAAGUUGGAUGUGAAAGCCCAGGGCUUAACCUUGGAACUGCAUUCAAAACUGGUCAACUCGAGUAAGGGAGAGGAGAGUGGAAUUUCCAGUGUAGCGGUGAAAUGCAUAGAUAUUGGAAGGAACACCAGUGGCGAAGGCGACUCUCUGGCCUAUUACUGACGCUGAGGUGCGAAAGCGUGGGGAGCAAACAGG